GACGAACGCUGGCGGCGUGCUUAACACAUGCAAGUCGAGCGAGGCCUCUCCUUCGGGAGGGUGUCCUAGCGGCGAACGGGUGAGUAACACGUGGGCAACCUGCCCUCAGCUCUGGGAUAACUCCAAGAAAUUGGGGCUAAUACCGGAUAUGACCGCUGACCGCAUGGUCUGGUGGUGGAAAGAUUUAUCGGCUGGGGAUGGGCCCGCGGCCUAUCAGCUUGUUGGUGGGGUAGUGGCCUACCAAGGCGACGACGGGUAGCCGGCCUGAGAGGGUGACCGGCCACACUGGGACUGAGACACGGCCCAGACUCCUACGGGAGGCAGCAGUGGGGAAUAUUGCGCAAUGGGCGGAAGCCUGACGCAGCGACGCCGCGUGGGGGAUGACGGCCUUCGGGUUGUAAACCUCUUUCAGCAGGGACGAAGCGCAAGUGACGGUACCUGCAGAAGAAGCACCGGCCAACUACG
Molecule: ribosomal RNA, 465 nt
Filed under: uncultured Geodermatophilaceae bacterium
Lineage: Bacteria; Bacillati; Actinomycetota; Actinomycetes; Geodermatophilales; Geodermatophilaceae
Description: bacterial SSU rRNA
Rfam family: Bacterial small subunit ribosomal RNA
Source: RNAcentral